RNAcentral lists this long non-coding RNA (1775 nucleotides) under Lathyrus oleraceus (garden pea). Its description in RNAcentral is "Pisum sativum (pea) long non-coding RNA (PSAT_LNC004222)". Lineage: Eukaryota; Viridiplantae; Streptophyta; Magnoliopsida; Fabales; Fabaceae. The record is from RNAcentral.
UUAACCAAUCGGAUAUGUUUAUAAAGUUAUGAACGAUGAUGUUUAUAAAAUAUAUAUGCAGAAUUAAACAUGUUAAUCAAAAGCAAAAAAUUUUAAAAAGUAUAAUAAUACAUAUGCUAAAAUGCAUCCAUCCACCCCAAGCUCUCCAUUUAGAAGCUUAAUACUUAUAGUCCUUAACAUGCAAGCUCUCAGAAGCCAACCCAGUUCCACUUCCACCACCAUACUUUCCCAAAGUAGCCUCAGAAUUGGCCUUGCAUCUUGCCAGAAACACAUCUUGAGCUUUGCCCACAUUCUCUUUCUUUCCAGACCAUGUCUUGAGUGUGCUUUGCUGCAGUGCUCUCCCAAAUGAGAAUGAAAGUGUCCAUGGCUUCACAACAUCAAACUUAUUCAUUGCAUUCAGGUUCAGUGUAGCUUGUUCUUCACUUUGUCCUCCAGACAGAAAAACUAUCCCUGGUACCGCAGCUGGGACAGUCCUGCGCAAUGCAUUGACUGUGUACUCACCAAUCACCUCAGGUGAUACCUGCACACAAAAAUGCAUAUUGUUUGUUUUCCAAGUUAAUAACGUCGCAGUAAUAUACUUCAUCAGUCCCGUUGAUUUCUUACAUUUUGUCGACGCAUAAGUAGAAACUAGCAAUGUGACAAAAACGUCAGUGACCUAAUUAUUUUCACUCACAUGAGAGACCUCAGACAAAAGAUUGGUGAUUUACUCUUUUCCAAAAUUGAGUGUUACCUUUGGGCUAUCAGAACCGGGGGUGACCAUGUUGGGCUUGAGAAGAGUUCCUUCAAGAAGGACAUGUUGAUCAUUCAGUGCCUUGUAACAGGCUGCAAGCACAGUUUCAGUAACAGCAGCGCAUUUGGCGAUGUCAUGAGAUCCAUCGGUUAAAAUCUCGGGCUCAACAAUAGGCACGAGGCCAUUCUCCUGGCAAAUGAUGGCGUAGCGAGCCAAGCCCUGUGCGUUUUGCUGGAUAGACAACUCAGAGGGCUCAUUGGGGCCAAUCUUGAGGACUGCACGCCACUUGGCAAAGCGCGCUCCAGCCUUGUAGUACUGCUGGCAUCUAGCUCCAAGAGAGUCAAAGCCUUGUGUUGUUGUUUCACCAUCUGUUCCAGCCAAUUCAACAACACCCUUGUCAACUUUGAUGCCGGGUAUGACAUUGUUCUCUUGGAGAAUUUCAACAAAAGGCUUCCCUUCUGAGGACUUCUGGUAAAGAGUUUCCUCGAAGAGGAUGACACCAGAGAGGUAUUGGAGUGCAUUAGGAGAAGUGAAAAGAAGUUCGCGAAGAGCUUGACGGUUGGCCUCGAUGUUCUCAACGUUGAUGCUUGCUAGACGCUUGCCAAUGGUCCCUGUGCUCUCAUCAGCCGCCAAGAUACCCUUGCCAGGAGUAGCUAUGUACUUGGCAUUCUUGAUAAGCUCAUCUUGAAAUGAAAACCACAAUCAAUUAUUAUUACAUAAACUUGAUGAUGAUGAUGAUGAUGAUUGAAAUCAAGGUAACUUCUUCGACAUGACAAGAAUCAUUAUGAUUCGACACUUUAAAAUUACUAGUGUAUUUAUGCUAGCAACACUUAUUUUAAAACAUUUUUUAUACACUAAAAUGGCAGUUAUUUUGUAAGUGGAAAGAUUGACAUGCUUGUAGUACAAUGAAUAACUGCUAUGUGUAUGUUUAGUAAGAGUGAGUAUGCUUAAAUUAGAAGAAGAAAGGUCAGAAUGAGAUUACCUGCAUACUUUCCAACAAAGGCAGACAUGCUUUGAAAUUGAUAUUGUAUGGCGGGAAACAAAC